AGACCCGAAACCCGGUGAUCUAGCCAUGGGCAGGUUGAAGGUUGGGUAACACUAACUGGAGGACCGAACCGACUAAUGUUGAAAAAUUAGCGGAUGACCUGUGGCUGGGGGUGAAAGGCCAAUCAAACCGGGAGAUAGCUGGUUCUCCCCGAAAGCUAUUUAGGUAGCGCCUCGUGAAUUCAUCUCCGGGGGUAGAGCACUGUUUCGGCUAGGGGGCCAUCCCGGCUUACCAACCCGAUGCAAACUGCGAAUACCGGAGAAUGUUAUCACGGGAGACACACGGCGGGUGCUAACGUCCGUCGUGAAGAGGGAAACAACCCAGACCGCCAGCUAAGGUCCCAAAGUCAUGGUUAAGUGGGAAACGAUGUGGGAAGGCCCAGACAGCCAGGAUGUUGGCUUAGAAGCAGCCAUCAUUUAAAGAAAGCGUAAUAGCUCACUGGUCGAGUCGGCCUGCGCGGAAGAUGUAACGGGGCUAAACCAUGCACCGAAGCUGCGGCAGCGAACGUAUCACC
RNAcentral lists this ribosomal RNA (512 nucleotides) under Salmonella enterica subsp. enterica serovar Senftenberg. Its description in RNAcentral is "partial 23S ribosomal RNA". It matches the Rfam family "Bacterial large subunit ribosomal RNA", at positions 711 to 1221 of the family's 2925-position model. Lineage: Bacteria; Pseudomonadati; Pseudomonadota; Gammaproteobacteria; Enterobacterales; Enterobacteriaceae. The record is from RNAcentral. RNAcentral also lists the same sequence under 24 other names.